ACGCGAUGGGCGCUGUACAGGAGAAAAAUGUUAUGGAUUAAGGCGGAAAAAAAGGAAUAAAAAUUGGAACCAAUGUUACAACUAAUCCUAAAUUUUUAGAUAAAACUUUAAUUUGCUUCCCUAUGAUUUAGGGUUUUUUUUUUUAUUUUAUCAUUUUGUGUUUCAAAAAGUUGCACUUAACUAUACUUUUUUUCCGCCCAAUAUUUUAUGCGUAAACUAAAUUACAAAUACUUUAUUCAAUUUCACUAAAGUUCCAUUGUGUGCACAAUCACCUACUAAAUGUGCACAAAAACAUUACUCCAAUCACCUUCCAUUUUUGUGCACACCAACCUUUUUUUUCUCCAGGGUACAUUUUUUAUGGCACCCUAGCAAUGCUAGAAAAUUUGCCUUAAAUGUGAAGAGUUCUUAAAACUAAAAGGAGUGAAGUGAUUGAUGGAGAAAGGAGGGAAAAGAACCUCCAAAAUAACCAUCACCUCUCUCUCUCUCUCUCUCUCUAUAUAUAUAUAUAUAUAUAUAAUCCAGCUAUAUGAUGCUUGUAAAAGUACCAAAUACUUGAUACUUGUAAAUUUUUACCGUUAGAUUUACUCCUCUGAUCAUUUUCAACCAUUAGAUUAUACUAUUCAACCAACUACCCACUCAACUCUAGAGGGCCCACAUCAUCCUAACCGCAUAUCUCUUAAUUCAAUGGCUAAAAAUCUACAAGUACCAAUGUCUUGAUACUUUUAAAAGCAUAGAAGCUCAAUUAUAUAUAUAUAUAUAUAUAUAUAUAUAUAUAUAUAUAUAUACACGCGCGCGCGUGCGCACAUACGCACCAACCAUUUAAUAUUUUUGUAGAUCGAAAGCGCUAACCAACUAUUUCAUAAUGAAAUGUUGAUAAUAAGAAGGCACCUAUCGUACUUAAAGGCUCAAUCGUACAUAGUGGCAACGGAUUUUGACUUGACUUAAUUCACCUGAAUUUAGAUUUAUUGUUGGACCUUUUACUAUUAGAUUUAUUGCAGACCAUAGCGUUACUCAAUUUAUUGGGCUCACCCAAUUUAGUUUAUUAGUCUCCUGUACCUAUUACCGCGCGCGAGACAAGAAGUUGAAUCCAUUUUAGUCAAUAAUAAAUAGCUGAUACUGUUAAAUAUGAUAUACGUUUCAUAAACUUUUUAGAAACCAUUUUU
Molecule: long non-coding RNA, 1163 nt
Filed under: Ananas comosus (pineapple)
Lineage: Eukaryota; Viridiplantae; Streptophyta; Magnoliopsida; Poales; Bromeliaceae
Description: long non-coding RNA (ACOM_LNC032860)
Source: RNAcentral